CCUACGGGUGGCAGCAGUCGAGAAUCAUUCACAAUGGGGGAAACCCUGAUGGUGCGACGCCGCGUGGGGGAAUGAAGGUCUUCGGAUUGUAAACCCCUGUCAUGUGGGAGCAAAUUAAAAAGAUAGUACCACAAGAGGAAGAGACGGCUAACUCUGUGCCAGCAGCCGCGGUAAUACAGAGGUCCCAAGCGUUGUUCGGAAUCACUGGGCGUAAGGCGUGCGUAGGCUGUUUCGUAAGUCGUGUGUGAAAGGCGCGGGCUCAACCCGCGGACGGCACAUGAUACUGGGAGACUAGAGUAAUGGAGGGGGAACCGGAAUUCUCGGUGUAGCAGUGAAAUGCGUAGAUAUCGAGAGGAACACUCGUGGCGAAGGCGGGUUCCUGGACAUUAACUGACGCUGAGGCACGAAGGCCAGGGGAGCGAAAGGGAUUAGAUACCCCUGUAGUC
RNAcentral lists this ribosomal RNA (446 nucleotides) under uncultured bacterium. RNAcentral's name for it is "partial 16S ribosomal RNA". It matches the Rfam family "Bacterial small subunit ribosomal RNA", at positions 338 to 795 of the family's 1533-position model. The record is from RNAcentral.